This 456-nucleotide ribosomal RNA is filed under the name uncultured bacterium. RNAcentral describes it as "bacterial SSU rRNA". It matches the Rfam family "Bacterial small subunit ribosomal RNA", at positions 340 to 787 of the family's 1533-position model. The record is from RNAcentral.
UACGGGAGGCAGCAGUGGGGAAUAUUGCACAAUGGGCGAAAGCCUGAUGCAGCUAUGCCGCGUGUAUGAAGAAGGCCUUAGGGUUGUAAAGUACUUUCAUCGGGGAGGAAAAACAAAACUAAUAAUUUUAUUUCUUGACGUUACCCGAAAAAGAAGCACCGGCUAACUCCGUGCCAGCAGCCGCGGUAAUACGGAGGGUGCUAGCGUUAAUCAGAAUUACUGGGCGUAAAGAGCACGUAGGUGGUUUUUUUAAGUCAGAUGUGAAAUCCCUGGGCUUAACCUAGGAACUGCAUUUUGAAACUGAAAUACUAGAGUAUCGUAGAGGGAGGUAGAAUUCUAGGUGUAGCGGUGAAAUGCGUAGAUAUCUGGAGGAAUACCUGUGGCGAAAGCGGCCUCCUAAACGAAUACUGACACUGAGGUGCGAAAGCGUGGGGAGCAAACAGGGAUUAGACUACC